RNAcentral lists this ribosomal RNA (468 nucleotides) under uncultured bacterium. RNAcentral's name for it is "bacterial SSU rRNA". It matches the Rfam family "Bacterial small subunit ribosomal RNA", at positions 328 to 793 of the family's 1533-position model. The record is from RNAcentral.
GUGCCAGACUCCUACGGGAGGCAGCAGUGAGGAAUAUUGGUCAAUGGGCGCAAGCCUGAACCAGCCAAGUCGCGUGAGGGAUGACGGUCCUAUGGAUUGUAAACCUCUUUUGUCGGGGAGCAAGGCCCGCCACGUGUGGCGGGAAGGAGAGUACCCGAAGAAAAAGCAUCGGCUAACUCCGUGCCAGCAGCCGCGGUAAUACGGAGGAUGCGAGCGUUAUCCGGAUUUAUUGGGUUUAAAGGGUGCGUAGGCGGAAGGUUAAGUCAGCGGUAAAAUGUCGGUGCUCAACACCGGCCUGCCGUUGAAACUGGUCUUCUUGAGUGAGCGAGAAGUAUGCGGAAUGCGUGGUGUAGCGGUGAAAUGCGUAGAUAUCACGCAGAACUCCGAUUGCGAAGGCAGCGCACCGGCGCCCUACUGACGCUCAGGCACGAAAGCGUGGGUAUCGAACAGGAUUAGAUACCCCAGUAU